CUACCCGCUGAACUUAAGCAUAUCAAUAAGCGGA
Molecule: ribosomal RNA, 34 nt
Filed under: Rhizoctonia solani
Lineage: Eukaryota; Fungi; Basidiomycota; Agaricomycetes; Cantharellales; Ceratobasidiaceae
Description: partial 28S ribosomal RNA
Source: RNAcentral